GACGAACGCUGGCGGCGUGCUUAACACAUGCAAGUCGAACGGAAAGGCCCUGCUUGCAGGGUACUCGAGUGGCGAACGGGUGAGUAACACGUGGGUGAUCUGCCCUGCACUUCGGGAUAAGCCUGGGAAACUGGGUCUAAUACCGGAUAGGAGCCAUUUUUAGUGUGAUGGUUGGAAAGUUUUUUCGGUGUAGGAUGAGCUCGCGGCCUAUCAGCUUGUUGGUGGGGUAAUGGCCUACCAAGGCGGCGACGGGUAGCCGGCCUGAGAGGGUGGACGGCCACAUUGGGACUGAGAGUCGGCCCCGGCUCCGACGGGUGGCAGCAGUGGGGAAUAUUGCUCAAUGGGCGCAAGCCUGAUGCAGCGACGCCGCGUGGGGGAUGACGGCCUUCGGGUUGUAAACUCCUUUCGCUAGGGACGAAGCUUUUUGUGACGGUACCUAGAGAAGAAGCACCGGCUAACUACGUG
RNAcentral lists this ribosomal RNA (465 nucleotides) under uncultured bacterium. RNAcentral's name for it is "partial 16S ribosomal RNA". It matches the Rfam family "Bacterial small subunit ribosomal RNA", at positions 28 to 507 of the family's 1533-position model. The record is from RNAcentral.